This 489-nucleotide ribosomal RNA is filed under the name uncultured bacterium. RNAcentral's name for it is "SSU rRNA". It matches the Rfam family "Bacterial small subunit ribosomal RNA", at positions 26 to 523 of the family's 1533-position model. The record is from RNAcentral.
AGGAUUAACGCUGGCGGCGUGCAUGAAACAUGCAAGUCGAGCGCGGUGUGAUGCGGGGUAACCCAAUUCACAUCUAGCGGCGAACGGGUGAGUAACACGUGAGCAACCUACCUUUGAGUUGGGGAUAGCCCUGGGAAACCAGGAUUAAUACCCGAUGUGGUCACAACAGGACAUCCUGAUGUGAGUAAAGGCGCAAGCCGCUCAAUGACGGGCUCGCGGCCUAUUAGCUUGUUGGUGGGGUAACGGCCUACCAAGGCGAUGAUGGGUAGCUGGUCUGAGAGGACGAUCAGCCACACUGGGACUGAGACACGGCCCAGACUCCUACGGGAGGCAGCAGUUAGGAAUUUUCCGCAAUGGGCGAAAGCCUGACGAGCAACGCCGCGUGAGUGAUGAAGACCUUAGGGUUGUAAAGCUCUGUCGGAGGGGAAGAACACAAUGACGGUACCCUCCAAGAAAGCCCGGCUAACUACGCGCCAGCAGCCGCGGUAA